This 253-nucleotide ribosomal RNA is filed under the name uncultured bacterium. RNAcentral describes it as "partial 16S ribosomal RNA". It matches the Rfam family "Bacterial small subunit ribosomal RNA", at positions 524 to 776 of the family's 1533-position model. The record is from RNAcentral.
UACGGAGGGUGCUAACGUUGUCCGGAAUUACUGGGCGUAAAGCGCAUGUAGGUGGUCUUGCACGUCGACGAUGAAAGACUGUCGCCUAACGACAGGAACGUUUUCGAUACGACAAGGCUUGAGGGAAGCAGGGGUACGCGGAACUUUCGGUGUAGGAGUGAAAUCCGUAGAUAUCGGGUGGAACACCAGUGGCGAAGGCGCCUGUCUGGCUGACAACUGACGCUGAGACUCGAAAGCAUGGGGAGCAAACAGG